This 5119-nucleotide long non-coding RNA is filed under the name Sus scrofa (pig). Its description in RNAcentral is "lncRNA (ENSSSCG00000054835.1)". Lineage: Eukaryota; Metazoa; Chordata; Mammalia; Artiodactyla; Suidae. The record is from RNAcentral.
AUGAUCUGUCCAUUGCUUCCAUGUAUAGUCCUUUCUAUGAAUUUGGCUCUCUGUUGAAGACUUUUAUGUUCUGGACCCCAACACCAUGGUACCUUAAAGUUGCUUAAAAACAGGUGACCAUAGGAGCUCUUGGGAUUCCACUAUUGGUAUAUAAGAGUGUUUAUUUGGAGACAAAAUAAUACAGAAAAUUUGGCCAGAAGAAAAAGUUUUAAAUGUCUUAUUGUGUCUUAUGGGCGGUUUUUCGGGAAGGGACCUCUGCCAUCUGGUUCUUGAAUGAAGUUCACAUUCUGUGAGCCGGGGACUCCUCCCAUGUCUCUAAUUGAACCACCUUCUGUUGAAUCAAUAGUGGAAGAUAACCCAAUGAAAUGUAUGCUAAUAAUAUCAGUGAGGUGGAAGGGAGAGGGGAUAAAAAAAGGGGUUAAAAUAAUAGAUUUUCUCAGUAUAUCAUUAAGUCAUGGAAUAUUAGACCUUACAUUUUAUGUAGGCCAGUCCUUUCAAUUUAAUGAUGAGGGUUCCAAGGCAUGAAGAGACUUUGUGGGUGGCUCAAGGUUAUCUCAUGAAUUAGUCUUUAACAUAGAUUCACUGCCUUGUUUCUCUAAAAAUGGACUUCCUCCACAAUUUUAUAGCCUUUCAUUGAUAGACAGUCUAUCACACAACAAUUAGGUGUACUAAAAUGAAAUCAUGAAUAUGAAAAUAUUUUAUAUAUCACCUGGCUCAUAGUAGGUGAUAACAAAAUGUUCAUAACUCCUCCAUCUCUCCUUCCCUCCCUUUCUUUCCUCUUCCCUCCUUCUUUAUCUCCUUCCUUCCUAGUGCAUAUUAAAGUUAGAAAUGUAAGAACGCAAUGUGAGUAUUAAAUCAAUGAGGCUUAUUCCCCUGUAGGAUACAGGAAAUUAGAGUUUCUCAUCUCUGGCAACUUCUAUUUGGUCUUAGCAACAUUAGUAAAGUACUUUUGUUUUUAAGAGGCUUUGAAAAGCUUCCUUGUUCAUCCAUUUUCUUCGCUAUUUCCUCCUCUUUAGCGAGGCCAGAAACUUUAACCACUGUUUCCUAGCACUUCCUGAAGGUGGAGGAAAGGGAGUAGUAUGUUUGGACUGACACGGCUAACAUAGUAUCUAGGUAAUUGAAAAUAUUCAGCCUUGAAGAGUGAGGAAUAAAAAUCCUCUCUCAUGGACUACUAGGAAUCUCUUAAAAAUUGUUUUAUGCGGGUGUAAGAAUUCUUUGCCUUUAAAAGAAAAAAUGGGCUUGACUUUGUCUCUUGCCUCUAAAUGGUUUCUAGAAGGGCUGGGUGUCCAUUUAUUAAGAGAAAUCACUGGUUUACUUCAACACGAUCAUGGAUGGGCCUACUGCCCAAAAGAUUCAGAGACAUUUACUUCCUCCCUCCCCCUUUCCUUUUAUUUAUAUAGAAGCUUUGAUCUAUUUGGGGAAUAUAGGAGUAGAUGGAAGACAUCUGGCAAUGUUAUUUUCCAGCAAAUGUUGAAUUUUAUCCAAGGAAUUUUCUUAGCUUGGUUUUAAACUGCUUACAUCUUCUCUCCAGGAGAGGCAUUCUCAGGAGGGUGGAGCCAGAUGUAGACACUUUGGUCUAUGUUUUAGUCCUUCAUGGGCUCUCCUUUUAUCUUUAAUCCAGGCACCAUCUAAGAAUUCCUUGCAUUCAGUGAGCCAGUGAGUGGCGGAAACAAACACACAAAUUCUCACUUGUGCCCUCUUCAUUUAAGACUAACAUUUUAACUCCAGGCACUUACAUCCUUUUUUGGGAAACUAUAAUUUCUUUCUCAAACCUAAUUUGCAAGGAAUUGGAUUAAUGGUCCAAUUUAUGAAAAUAAACUUCCUCAUGGGGUUGGAAAGGAGGGAGUUGGAGGAAAAUAGAUUAAGACAAAUGGAGAAUAUGAGACUAGAAAGCAAGAUGGACAUGCACAUUUUGGGGCUUGAAAUGUGUUCUAGGCUUGGUUGCAUUAUCUCUUAAGCUAUGUUAUUGUAUGAGAGAGAUAGGACAGAUAAUAAAAAGGGGUUCAAUUGUUGUGUUUACAAAGGAGAUAGGAAAGUGAGUCCUCAACAAAUAUUACUCAGAAAAAAAUGACAUGAACCAAAAGGUUGGCACCUGCAAGAAAUGGGGUUGAGUCUAAGCAGAGCAUAUUUUAACUAGAAAAAUUUAAUGGAUAUAGAAAAUAUUUAUACCGGAAAUGACCAUUUUCUUCUUUCAGAUUGUAGUAAUUUUUUUUUUCAGGGCUACACCCAUGGCCCAUGGAGGUUCCCAGGCUAGGGGUCAAAUCGGAACUAUAUGCUGCCCUAUGACACAGACACAGCAACAGCAGAUCCAACUGCGUCUAUGACCUACACCACAGCUCAUGGCAAUUCCAGAUCCUUAACUCACUGAGCCAGACCAGGGAUUGAACCUGCAUCCUUAUGGAUGCUAGUCAGAUUCAUUUUUGCUGAACCAUGAUAGGAACUCCUAGCUUGCAGUACUUUCUGUCAUGAGUUAUAUCAGAACUAUUCUGGUGAAGUGUGUGGCAAGCUGGGAAACAUUUGAUGAAUUAUCCAUAAUUUUGUGUGACACAUUUUGUGUGACACAUUCCCAGCCCACUGCAGACUCCAGGAACUGCCAUGGUGACUGUCCUAGCAGACUUUGGUUCCACAUAGGAACAACCUGAUCAUGUCUUGCAUUGAAACCAGUUGCACAUGAUUCUUGCUGCCUUCUCUGUAGAUCUUUUGACACCAAAGAGGAGAACAUCUUUUUGGCGUUCACAUGCAUACUUCAUGGAAUGUGGCUGAGUUAAUGCCCUUAGGGUCACCCCUGAACAGUGGAGGACAAAAAUCCAUGGAUACAGGCUUCCCUCCUUUAUAACCCAAGUGAACAGUUCUGGAAUGUAUUUUAUAAGUGUUUUCAGAAUAUUGUAGAGAAUAGAGCACCAACUCCUUGUCUUGCUGGACAGAACAAUAGCACAUCUUUGUAUUUGCCUUGUAUUGGAGUAUAGUUGCCCUACAGUUUUGUGUUAGUUUGGGUUCUGAAAGUGUUAGUCUAUACCCCCUGGGUGCUGUGACUAAAGCCAAUGUAGGUUAUGGUGAAGGAAGAGAAGACAGAGUAGCAUUUCUUCUAUUUUGCACCAAAAAUGGCUUCAGAGAUGAGACAAUGCCUAUAGUUAUAAGCAUUGCAAAGAGGUAGGAUAAAGGUGUCUGUGGAAAAAUGAGGUUAUUUCUGACACAGUCUACAGUAUGGAGACGUGAUGUAGCCCAGACUUCCAGGUAAAUUAUAAGUACCUUUGUGUUCAUGGAGCACAGACAGAAUGAUAUGGUACAAGACAGAGCUGGAGAAGGGGGAACAGAAGCUCAGUCCAUGGAGGCUCUUGUUUAUAGACUGUUUAUUUCUAGGGCCACAUUGUAAGUCCCCUGCAUGCAGGAAUUGUCUUUUACACCUACUUUAACUUUGCGGCACCUAGCACAGGGUGUUGAACAGGAGAUGGCUCAUCCAAAUCCAUCAAAAUCAGGUUGCUUUUUUAGGGUUGCACCCACGGCAUGUGGAAGUUCCCAGGCUAGUGGCCAAAUUGGAGUUACAGCUGCCAGUCUACACCACAGCCACAGCAAUGUGGGAUCCGAACUGUGUCUGAAAGCUACACCACUGCUUUUGGCAAUGCCGGAUCCUUAACCUACUGAGUGAGGCCAGGAAUGGAACCUGCAUCCUCCUGGAUACUAGCUGGGUUCUUAACCCAUUAAGCCACAAUGGGAACUGCCUGGUUCCAUUUUUAAAAUACAGAAAAAUAAGACUGAUAUAACAAAUAUUGUCUAGAUAAUUGUUUUUAAUGAACACUUGGAGUUUGCUUUAAAAUUUUGCACGUAGUGAAACAGUGAGUUAGCUAAAAAGAACUGAAUCAAUUCUAAUAAAUUGCACAUUUUGAAAACAGCUAAACUAAGAAUACUUAGACAUAGAUCAAUUCAGACAUCCAUUCAAUCUCCUUUCAUUCUAGAAGUCAUGUGAAUGCAUUGAUGUGCCUUCCUGGGUCAGAAUGCCCAAAGCACAGUGUUCUCACUAGAUUAUGAAUGAAAAUCUAUCAGGUGGCUAAUGAAAUAUCUGGGUGGACUGGGACCCCCUUUUACCCUGAUGAUUUAACAUCCCUUGAUUAUAUAUUUUGUAUUUAUACUUAUUGAUUUUUAUUGAAUGAAACCUUGUGGGAGAAUCAAAACUGAUAUGCUAAUUAAAGUGCAUCCUGGUUGGUUUUUAUGCAACUAUGCAAAGUUUGUAAGUAAGGCUCAGUGAUGGGUCUGCCUUUACUAAAUAGAGCUAACCAAAUGGAUGCCUAAGUUAGUUAGUAACAUGAAGUUAGCUCUUUAUAUUCCUUUCAAAAAUAGUUUAUUGGAGUAUAGUUGACCUACAAUUUUGUGUUAGUUUCAGAUGUACAGCAAAGUGAUUCAGUUAUACAUAUGUAGAUAUCCAUUCCUUUUCAGGUUCUUUUCCCAUAUAGGUUAUUUCAGAAUAUUGAGUGGAGUUCCCUUGGUUAUACCAUAGGUCCUUGUUACUUAUCUAUUUUAUAUAUAGUAGUGUGUUAUUUUCAUUCCUUUUGAUGAGGUACAGAAUUGUCUAGAACUGAGUUGAGACUUCUUGGAUGCUAAUAAUUUGCAAACACCGUGACCACCUUCUGCAAAAUACAUCUGCAGUUGUAAUAGAGAUAGGUUUAUAGACUCCUGAAUGCUUUUUCUUUUCUUAUUACCUAAAUUUAGGUAGAAGAAAUGGGCUUUCUGGGAUGAGUGUAUCCUGGAAUACUUUUGGCCAUUGCUUAACAUUCUCUUUCUCUCUGGUUCCUUCUUGCCUUCCUGAAUUAAGGAUUUUUCCUCAACUGCUAAAGCAGUUUAAAAACUCCCACAUGGAGUUCCCGUCGUGGAGCAGUGGUUAACGAAUCCAACUAGGAACCAUGAGGUUGCGGGUUCGGUCCCUGCCCUUGCUCAGUGGGUUAAGGAUCCGGCGUUGCCGUGAGCUGUGGUGUAGGUCGCAGACGCGGCUCGGAUCCUGCGUGGCUGUGGCUGUGGCGUAGGCUUGAGGCUACAGCUCCGAUUCGACUCCUAGCCUGGGAACCUCCAUAUGCCGCGGGAGCGGCCCAAGAAAUGGCAAAAAGUCAAAAAAAAAAAAAAAAAAAAA